GAUGAAGAACGUAGCGAAAUGCGAUACUUGGUGUGAAUUGCAGAAUCCCGUGAACCAUCGAGUCUUUGAACGCAAGUUGCGCCCGAAGCCAUUAGGCCGAGGGCACGCCUGCCUGGGCGUCACACGUCGUUGCCCCCCCAUCUACUCCUUCGGGAUUGCGGGGGGCGGAUGAUGGCCUCCCGUGCGCCUCGUCGCGCGGUUGGCAUAAAUGCCAAGUCCUCGGCGACGCACGCCACGACAAUCGGUGGUUGCGAAACCUCGGUUGCCCGUCGUGUGCGGUCGUCGCGAAUCGAGGGCUCGAAAAAAUUGCCGGGCUCCGGCUCGGCUUUCAACGCGACCCCAGGUCAGGCGGGGUUACCCGCUGAAUUUAAGCAUAUCAAUAAGGGAGGA
RNAcentral lists this unclassified non-coding RNA (390 nucleotides) under soil metagenome. Its description in RNAcentral is "partial contains 5.8S ribosomal RNA, internal transcribed spacer 2, and large subunit ribosomal RNA". The stretch from base 1 to 122 matches the Rfam family "5.8S ribosomal RNA", at positions 35 to 154 of the family's 154-position model. The record is from RNAcentral.